CCUACGGGUGGCAGCAGUGAGGAAUAUUGGUCAAUGGACGCGAGUCUGAACCAGCCAAGUCGCGUGAAGGCUGACUGCCCUACGAGUUGUAAACUUCUUUUGUAAGAGGGUAAACUGAGGCACGUGUACCUUUCUGUAUGUACUUUAUGAAUAAGGAUCGGCUAACUCCGUGCCAGCAGCCGCGGUAAUACGGAGGAUCCAAGCGUUAUCCGGAUUUAUUGGGUUUAAAGGGAGCGUAGACGGUCUGUUAAGUCAGUUGUGAAAGUUUGCGGCUCAACCGUAAAAUUGCAAUUGAUACUGGCAGGCUUGAGUAUAGUUGAGGUAGGCGGAAUGCGUGGUGUAGCGGUGAAAUGCUUAGAUAUCACGAAGAACUCCGAUUGCGAAGGCAGCUUACCAAGCUGCCUCUGACAUUGAUGCUCGAAAGCGUGGGUAGCAAACAGGAUUAGAUACCCCUGUAGUC
This 460-nucleotide ribosomal RNA is filed under the name uncultured bacterium. RNAcentral describes it as "partial 16S ribosomal RNA". It matches the Rfam family "Bacterial small subunit ribosomal RNA", at positions 338 to 795 of the family's 1533-position model. The record is from RNAcentral.